RNAcentral lists this ribosomal RNA (808 nucleotides) under Dibothriocephalus ditremus. RNAcentral describes it as "Diphyllobothrium ditremum partial 16S ribosomal RNA". The stretch from base 596 to 808 matches the Rfam family "Bacterial large subunit ribosomal RNA", at positions 2079 to 2583 of the family's 2925-position model. The record is from RNAcentral. Lineage: Eukaryota; Metazoa; Platyhelminthes; Cestoda; Diphyllobothriidea; Diphyllobothriidae.
CUAUUUGGAUUGUUUAUAACUUAUGUUGUAGACCGAAAAGUUUAGAUUUAAUUUUAAGUAAGUAAGUGCUGUAAGUACGAGUAGUAUGUUAAAACUUAGGAUUGGUUGUGAUAAAUAAGUCGUUAAACUUUAUAUCUGUUUGGGAAAAAGUUUGUUUUUAAAUUUAUUUGGUGAUGAGAUCAAGUAAAUGAAUAUAGCUACAUUAAUGCAUAAAUUAGGAUAAGGUUAAAAUUACCUUUUUAUUAAGCGUAUGUUACAAUUGCUAAAUUUACUUAUUAAGUGUAGCUUAUUGUUAAAAUUUCCCUAAAUUUAAUUAAGUGAAGUUAAUUAUCAAAUAAUAAGUAAUUAUAUUAGUCUCUUUGUUUUUCAUUUACAUCCCGUCUGUUUAUUAAAAACAUUUCCAUAUUAUUAAGUUUAUAUGGUAGGACCUGCUCUAUGUGUUAUAAAUGGCCGCAGUAUCUUGACUGUGCGAAGGUAGCAUAAUUAAUUGCCCUUUAAAUGGGGGCUUGUUUGAAUGGUUUGACGAGGUUGUUUUUAACAUGGAGAUUUUUAUUGAAAUUGAUGAUGUGAAUACAGAAUUUACAUUAUUUAAUUAGACGGAAAGACCCUAGGAUCUUUACAUAUUUUGCUUGGGGCAAGUAAAAAUAAUUUAUUUGUUUUUUGACCCUUUAUAAGUUUAUAGGUUUAAGUUACCCUAGGGAUAACAGAGUGAUAGUUUAUUAGAGUUCUUAUCGAUUAAACUGUUUGCUACCUCGAUGUUGACUUGGGUUAAUGUUCUGGCGCAGUAGUCAGAAGUUUGGUCUGUUCG